UACGUAGGGUGCAAGCGUUGUCCGGAAUUAUUGGGCGUAAAGAGCUCGUAGGCGGUUUGUUGCGUCGGCUGUGAAAACCUGAGGCUCAACCUCAGGCCUGCAGUCGAUACGAGCAGACUAGAGUGUUGCAGGGGAGACUGGAAUUCCUGGUGUAGCGGUGAAAUGCGCAGAUAUCGGGAAGAACACCCGUGGCGAAGGCGGUUCUCUGGGACGGUACUGACGCUGAGACGCGAAAGCGUGGGGAGCGAACAGG
RNAcentral lists this ribosomal RNA (253 nucleotides) under uncultured bacterium. RNAcentral's name for it is "partial 16S ribosomal RNA". It matches the Rfam family "Bacterial small subunit ribosomal RNA", at positions 524 to 776 of the family's 1533-position model. The record is from RNAcentral.